This is a long non-coding RNA of Papaver somniferum (opium poppy), 1365 nucleotides long. RefSeq lists it as uncharacterized. The record is from RefSeq and is a predicted model, not a curated record. NCBI's taxonomy places the organism in Eukaryota, Viridiplantae, Streptophyta, Magnoliopsida, Ranunculales, Papaveraceae. The transcript is spliced from 2 exons.
UUUAUUUCUGUCGCUCUCACAAUUCUUCCAUCGAAACUGGGUUAGAAACUUGGGUUAUUGAUGAACAAUAAGUGUUCAACAGGGAAGACAUGAUUAAUAGUGAAGUAGAAGAAUCACGUAUUGGUGAUGUCUGGAAUUUUUGAAGUUUUAGGGUUCAGUGGAUGCGGCGAAGAUGAAGCACAAAUCGAGGAUGAAAAAAAUCAAAAUACAUUUGAUAUAUGGUGAUGAAUGGUGAAGAUUGAUGAUUAUAAAGAGUGCCAGUGGUUUUAGUUGAAAUGGAUUCACAGAAAAAUCAGUCGAGGAAGUGCUGGUGUUGUUGUUGAUUCAAUUUUGUGUAUGAUUAGGAUUGUGGGUUGUUUCUGUGUUUCAAUGUUAUCAAAAUAUGAAAUUACUGCAGGGUAGGAGAUAUUACAGAGCUUAAGAGUACACAAUAAACUCAUUGAUACUUUAGCAGCGAAACACACACAAGGUGUUUGUGAAAAGGCUUGACUUUGCAGUUCCUUAGCUAAACUAAGUUAUGUGGUUCUUGGCAAUUGAGGAACUGCCAAAGUGGGAGGAGUAAAUGGAAGAUGGGUCUUUGAAUUGCUUUACAGGAAUAAAUGAAGUUGAGUUAUUCUUGUGAUGUGUAUAUGUGAUUGUUAGGUUCAAUGGUCGUGUUAUGUUGGUGGUAGUAAACAUGGAAUUUCAAGCAUAAAUGUUGUCUGAAGCUGGAAUUAUAGGUGGUGAUAGUUAUGCUAAUUUUUUAAUGUUAAUAGCAGGUUUCCCCUACUUAAUACUAAGGGAAAUGUUAAUAUCUAGAAUUUCAAGAUAUAUGAUGCAGACAAAGAGCAAUGCUGGGUACGAAAUGGUUGAUGUUUUGGCUGAGAGAUUUGGAAACAAUUUCAAAGUAAAGAUGGGAAAGUGACCUGAUGCAUAUGAGUGUUUGGGAUUUACGUUUGAGCUUGGAAGAAUGAGAUUUACCUGGUAAAACCAAACCAUUCUCACUUCAUGCUUUCAUGUUGUUUAGGAAAUUGAGUUUGUGUUAGAUAUAAAUUCAAUGCAGGCAAGGGUAUAUGGAAAAGUUUACAAAUCAAUCCCACGUACAUCUAUCCCCUGCUUGCUAGUUCAGACGCUCGACAUGUUUGUUGAAAUGCCUAAAUGAUGUUCUUCACUUGGUCUAAGUCACUAAGUUGACUCGAAGACGACUCAUAACACUAACUGGACCUAGUCCGUCCAUGAAAGGGGUGUACAUGUCUUUUACUAGGUAGCAUAACUGCCACAUCUGCAGUUAACUUCUAUUACCCGUUUUUUGAAGAAAACGGGAUGAAAAAAGUCUAUUUCGGCAAUUUUAUAAAAAGAUUCAAAAAAAACCGGCCAGUUUCUUAA